CUGUCAACGGUAAGCGGACCGAAGGGAGCAUUAAGGAGUCGAUAGACUAACU
Molecule: small RNA, 52 nt
Filed under: uncultured Cytobacillus sp.
Lineage: Bacteria; Bacillati; Bacillota; Bacilli; Caryophanales; Bacillaceae
Description: Bacillus-plasmid RNA
Rfam family: Bacillus-plasmid RNA
Source: RNAcentral